Molecule: long non-coding RNA, 2131 nt
Organism: Tetranychus urticae (two-spotted spider mite)
Lineage: Eukaryota; Metazoa; Arthropoda; Arachnida; Trombidiformes; Tetranychidae
Source: RefSeq, a predicted model, not a curated record
ACUUUUAAUAUGUCCUUUAUUGUCCAAUUACAAUUGAGUCUAAUCUCACUGUGAGAUUCUCACAAAAUGCCAGUCAAAUCCUGAGUUAAUGUUAAUCUUGAUUUAAGAUAUCAUUAUUACAAUUUUGUGCUCUCUUGUUGUUAUUGUGAUUUUACCUUUUCUGGUAAACAUUUUCAUGUGAUAAAAACUAUUGUUUAUUGGUAAUUUUGUCUCACAGUUAAAACAAAGCUGAGGACAUGAAAAAAAGGAGCAAAGUAAUAGGUAAAAACGUAAACUGUCUGUAAAAAGAUGUAACCUUUGCUUGAGUUACUCCCUGGUAAAUAGAGACUACAUUUCAAGUCAUUGUUAUGUUUACUUAUCAUCAGAAAAAACAACAACAAAUGAGCAACUUUUACCAUCAUUAUAACCCAAAAUAAUCGUUUAUUUUUUUUCUUCUGUUUCCUCAAAUUUUCCUGCCUUUUUUCAUCUUCUCUCUUGUUCAGUUUCAUGAUUCCAUUCUCUCUCAACCUUCCCUUUUUAUAUCUCGACUAAUAUAAUGUUUUCUUGUCUAAGUGUAUGUGUGUGUGUGUCUGAGUUAAUAGAUAAAGUAAAUCACAAGUGAAUAAAUCAACGGAAAAUUUUGAUGCUGAUUACUCGAGUCUGGAGAAGCAAAAAAAACUGGUCAAUUUAAUUUGGAAACUUAACCCUUGGCUAUCCAAUUUUAACCAGUCAACUAUUUCAUCUCGACACUGGUCAGCUUAUUAAGAUGUCUUCACGUCUCCAAAUUGGUCAAAUAUUUGACAAAUGUAAUCAACUUUAUCAAUUUGAUGGUGAAAAUUUCAUCAACAAAAUGGUUUACCAAAAUGUAUAUUGCAUUUUGUCCUUUUGUUACACUUGGAUUUCUGGUUAAACUAUUCAAUGGUUGUAUACAUGUUGAUUAUGUUGACCAUGCUCAGACAAUGAUUAUUGAUUAUUGCUAGUCGUAACCUGAAACUAUUAACAAUUUAUACAUCACCAGAGAUUCUCACUCUAAUAAUAUUACUAAUUAACUCAAUUGAUGAUUUAUUGAUCUUCUUACAUAAUGUGAUUAUCGAUCCUUAACCGAUUAAUCGAUAAACCCUUUUCCCUUUCAUUACAGCUGUUUAAUCUAACACUUGUUAAUCUUUACCUGUUUCCCUACUCACAAGCAAAUUGACAAAUUCAAGACGUAAGAAUAAUUAUGGUUAAUUGGACAGCAAAGUGAAAGAUGUAACAUCAUUAACUGAUAUUGAUGGAUUCAUGGACGAAACAUUGGACCAUUAAUUGUUUUCAUGUCCAGUUACUAUUUUUGGAUGGUUUUGUGGAUAUUUUGAUGUCUGGUAAAUUCAAACUUACUUGAUUAGAAUCGAGUCCCCAAAAUUCAAGCUCCUCUUCAAACAAUGGUCCACACACGUCCGUUGGAUAAUGUAGUUUACCUGUUCGAUAAUAAUUAAGUAUUUGACCAAAAACUCCUGGAUGGCGAUCAAAAAAGUAUUCAUUUAGAACUGGGUCAUAGUUCGCUAAGGCAUCCGUUAAUCUGGAUAACCGGGUUGCAGGAAUUUUCUUUAAGGUUGCCUGAAAAAUGUGGAUAAAAUGAAACAAAGUCGUCAGUAUCAACACUCAAAGAGGAUACAAUUGUGAUUACUUUUAUCCAAUUUCCAGAAUUGAAUUCUAUUUUAUUUCCAUAAUUAUAAUCUAAAAUAAUCUCAUAUAUCAACUGGAAUCACUUUUGACUGAGAUUUGACACGAUAAAUGGCAUUAAAUUCAAUGGUAACAACAAUGUAACCUGCAAUGUUAUUACAUUGUACUUUCAACGUAUUCAUAUUUUCUCCUGGAUAAGAUCUUGUUUCCUUUUAUACUCUUAACGACUUUUAUUCACCUGUUUGUUUGUAAUCACACCAGCAAAGUCAAAGAAAUGAGACGGAAAUCAUCAUAAUUUGAAAUCUAUCAAGUGAUUCUCAACUUAUAACCAGAGUAAACAAUUAUACCAAUUUUCAAUCCCUUUAACCAGCUCUGAAGUCAACACUAAAGAUUUACAAAAAUGUUGCAAAUUUUACCAGAUCGAUACAAUUUUAUUGAUUGAUUUUUGGAAACUUGUUUCAUCUGAAUAGCUCAGUGAAAUAAAGUAUUGAAA